GACGUAGGGUGCAAGCGUUGUCCGGAAUUAUUGGGCGUAAAGAGCUUGUAGGCGGUUUGUCGCGUCUGCUGUGAAAUUUCGGGGCUCAACCCCGAACUUGCAGUGGGUACGGGCAGACUAGAGUGUGGUAGGGGAGACUGGAAUUCCUGGUGUAGCGGUGAAAUGCGCAGAUAUCAGGAGGAACACCGAUGGCGAAGGCAGGUCUCUGGGCCACUACUGACGCUGAGAAGCGAAAGCAUGGGGAGCGAACAGG
Molecule: ribosomal RNA, 253 nt
Filed under: uncultured bacterium
Lineage: Bacteria
Description: partial 16S ribosomal RNA
Rfam family: Bacterial small subunit ribosomal RNA
Source: RNAcentral